Molecule: transfer RNA, 72 nt
Filed under: Cavia porcellus (domestic guinea pig)
Lineage: Eukaryota; Metazoa; Chordata; Mammalia; Rodentia; Caviidae
Rfam family: tRNA
About the family: Transfer RNA (tRNA) molecules are approximately 80 nucleotides in length. Their secondary structure includes four short double-helical elements and three loops (D, anti-codon, and T loops).
Source: Rfam by way of RNAcentral
GGGAGUGUAGCUCAGUGGUAGAGUAUUUGCCUAGCAUGCUGGAGACCUUGGGUUAGAUUCCUAGCACCUCCA